UGGCACACUUUACUACAUUACUACAGUUAGAAUGAUCUAAAGGUUAGCACAGCUCCUGAGCAAGGAUGAUACACAAAUUCACGAAGCGUCCCACAUUUUU
This 100-nucleotide small nuclear RNA is filed under the name Ovis aries (sheep). The record is from RNAcentral. Lineage: Eukaryota; Metazoa; Chordata; Mammalia; Artiodactyla; Bovidae.